RNAcentral lists this long non-coding RNA (1867 nucleotides) under Volvox carteri. RNAcentral's name for it is "long non-coding RNA (VCAR_LNC004107)". Lineage: Eukaryota; Viridiplantae; Chlorophyta; Chlorophyceae; Chlamydomonadales; Volvocaceae. The record is from RNAcentral.
AGGUGCAAGGUAGCUCGACGGAUUGACGUUCACGCCAUCUGAGAACACGUUUUGAAGGUGCAAGCUUAGGAAGACGCAGAGAGUUACAAUCGUUGUACGCAGUUUACUGUUCAUUUUGCUUGCUUCUACGGUCACCCCUGCCUUAACUCCUAGGCUGAUUCAGAAGUUCUCAAAGGCAUCAUACGUAUAUGCCAUGCUAAAGAGAGGAGAUCGAUGUGAAGGUGAAACCAGUCGCAAACCGCGUUCAAGUUCGAACAUCAAAGAAGUCAGCCAAAGCACAAGCUAUUGCGCAGGUCAGUAAAAGAUCUAUCCAGCUGCAUAAUAACAGUUCGCCAUAUUCAAGGACUGUGGAAAAUAAUCAGGUAGCUGUUCACGUACGGCUGUUCCGUAGUGAGAGUGGGAGAGACGAAUGCAGAUGACCGUCAUGUGUACCCUGCCUAUAUCACCGCGUCUGCGCUGGGAUCUCACGUUACAAAAUGUCGAUGCAGAUGGUACCUCAAUCAGCAGUUAUCGCCUCACGUCAAAGGUUCCAGUUGGACUACAACUCGAGGACUCAUGCUUACGGGUUUAAUGCGGAGUCGUCGUGUUAAGCACGCUGUUUUUCUAGCGCUUACUGUCCAGCCAGCCCUGGGGCGAGCAUCAAACUAAUUGUCAGCACGUAUAGCAACCCAAGCACAAGCGCCCAUGCCGUAAAACCAGCUGUCGUAUGUGUCUCCUGCAUCCAGCGUACGGCACCCCAACAAGCCGAGCGAUCGGGCACAAUCUUUAGGGCCGCAUACAUGAUCAUCCAAACCAACGAAUUCCCACGAUAUUCCAGUCGAAAAGGGCAGAUGCUUAUCAUGCGUCUGUUAUGCAUCAGCAUGCAGCAAAACAACCAUGGCCUUUCGUUGCGAAAUAGGAACGAACUUNNNNNNNNNNNNNNNNNNNNNNNNNNNNNNNNNNNNNNNNNNNNNNNNNNCUAUUUGGAAUACGGUAAGCACUUGAACGUGCCAUCUUGUGUCCUGUAGCCGAUAGGGAGAGGGGUGUACUUGGGGACGAGAGCGGCAAGAUGAGCUGGGGACGAGCGGCCAUGGGCAUGUUUAAGUAGGGAGGAAUCCGACUCGAACCGAUCUCCGCGCUGAAGCUUGCUCACCAGCAGGGGUUCCGAUAUUUUGUGUCAUAGCUCGACGGGAGGGCGACGAAAGUGUCCCUAGCAGCGGCCUCGAUUUCCGGGUAGUUCGGCAAGUGCGUAUGCGCCUUCCAAAUGUCGUUCACGUGGUAGUUCGGCACCUUCACCUGUGUUUCAACAUGGCGUUCAUGGCGAAUUCAUGGCUUCGCCGGUCUUCAGGAAGAAGCAACGCAACAUACAGACCUGAGGUGCAAGGUAGCUCGACGGAUUGACGUUCACGCCAUCUGAGAACACGUUUUGAAGGUGCAAGCUUAGGAAGACGCAGAGAGUUACAAUCGCUGUACGCAGUUUACUGUUCAUUUUGCUUGCUUCUACGGUCACCCCUGCCUUAACUCCUAGGCUGAUUCAGAAGUUCUCAAAGGCAUCAUACGUAUAUGCCAUGCUAAAGAGAGGAGAUCGAUGUGAAGGUGAAACCAGUCGCAAACCGCGUUCAAGUUCGAACAUCAAAGAAGUCAGCCAAAGCACAAGCUAUUGCGCAGGUCAGUAAAAGAUCUAUCCAGCUGCAUAAUAACAGUUCGCCAUAUUCAAGGACUGUGGAAAAUAAUCAGGUAGCUGUUCACGUACGGCUGUUCCGUAGUGAGAGUGGGAGAGACGAAUGCAGAUGACCGUCAUGUGUACCCUGCCUAUAUCACCGCGUCUGCGCUGGGAUCUCACGUUACAAAAUGUCGAUGCAGAUGGUACCUCAAUCAGCAGUUAUCG